This 497-nucleotide ribosomal RNA is filed under the name uncultured bacterium. RNAcentral describes it as "partial 16S ribosomal RNA". It matches the Rfam family "Bacterial small subunit ribosomal RNA", at positions 28 to 507 of the family's 1533-position model. The record is from RNAcentral.
GAUGAACGCUGGCGGCGUGCCUAAUACAUGCAAGUCGAGCGAACAGACGAGGAGCUUGCUCCUCUGACGUUAGCGGCGGACGGGUGAGUAACACGUGGAUAACCUACCUAUAAGACUGGGAUAACUUUGGGAAACCGGAGCUAAUGCCGGAUAAUAUAUUGAACCGCAUGGUUCAAUAGUGAAAGACGGUUUUGCUGUCACUUAUAGAUGGAUCCGCGCCGCAUUAGCUAGUUGGUAAGGUAACGGCUUACCAAGGCGACGAUGCUUAGCCGACCUGAGAGGGUGAUCGGCCACACUGGAACUGAGACACGGUCCAGACUCCUACGGGAGGCAGCAGUAGGGAAUCUUCCGCAAUGGGCGAAAGCCUGACGGAGCAACGCCGCGUGAGUGAUGAAGGUCUUCGGAUCGUAAAACUCUGUUAUUAGGGAAGAACAAAUGUGUAAGUAACUAUGCACGUCUUGACGGUACCUAAUCAGAAAGCCACGGCUAACUACGCG